Poecile atricapillus (Black-capped chickadee) is the source of this 3811-nucleotide long non-coding RNA. RefSeq lists it as uncharacterized. The transcript has 3 exons. The record is from RefSeq and is a predicted model, not a curated record. NCBI's taxonomy places the organism in Eukaryota, Metazoa, Chordata, Aves, Passeriformes, Paridae.
CCCAAGGGGACGGUCGGCGUUGGAACCUAGAACAGAUUCCAUGGAAAUAUCAGCAAAACCACGAAAACCAGCAACCAGCGAGCCAGGCAUCCCCCAAAAUAUCCCAAAAUCUGGAAUGCGCCGGGCCUUUCACGGGGAUUUUAAUGAUCAGUCUGUGUCUGAGCAAGCACCUCCAACAGCCUCUGAGAGCAAGGAGCCCACCCACUGGAUAAUGAACCAUCUUUCCAUCAUUCCACUUCUCCUGGGAGCGUGUCAUGCUGGAAGGCAGAUUUACACUGAGCUGGAAUCCAGCUGGGAUGGAAAAUACCUGGGAUGCAAAUCAAAUCAAAUCAAAUCAAAUCCCUGUGCUGAUCCAUCACCCUGCAAAGACCCUGCUCUGGAUAGAGCUGGCCAAAUAACACAGUGAGAACAGCAGUGCCACCGCUCCCUUUUAAAUGCAAAUCCAGCAGCAAUUUACCCUGAAAACCCCAAGAGGAAACGCAGAGAGGCAGCACAAGAGAUUCUUUACAGCUGAACAUCAAUUUUCAAAUCACAGGAACUGCAGGAGUGGCUCUAAUGAAAGGGGAGCUGGUGCCUGCAACGAGGUGGCCCCGCUUUCAUCGAUCCCUUUGGAAGUUGUGCUCCGGUGUCCCACGUGCCUGGAACGCUCCAGAGCUUUCCCCACCAAGCUGCCAAUUAAAGAGGGUUAAACCAGACCUGCUUAAACCAACAUGGGCUGGAGCAAAGCUUUUACUGCAUCCACAGCUCAGCUCUGCUCCAAAAGGAAAAAAAAAAAAAAAAAGAAAAAGUCUCUGGAGAUGGAUAAAAAAGCAUUUUGCAGGAUUUUUCCCCUCUGGGUCACUGUAAGGUUGGCAGUGCUGCGGGAGGAAAUGAGGGAAGAUUUGGGGCUGACACCAACAGGAUCAGCUGGGAUGAGGGAGGGCAAAAGGAGCUGGGUGGAAAUGCGGGUCCAGGACUUGGAACGAGGGGUUUUUUGGGACAUUGAGAGGCUGGAAAACGAUUUGUAAGUACUACAAACCCUGUGGUUGUCCUGGCAUCUGACUCCAAAGGGAGCCAGGGAGCACCUGGAUUUCCAAGGAAGAGAACAGAGAUACAGAAACCAUUCAUCUCCAUAUUCCCCAUCACUGCAGGCUCUCAAGCAUGGCCAACACCUCUGGAGCCACCCUAAGGAAGUGAAAAGCCCCAGAAAUGGGGUUGCAGAGUUCAGCAAAGAUGGGAUGUGACCCCAGGACAGCACUGCCCAUCCAGAGAUCUACGGGAAGCUCCUGGCUUCGCCCUUUCCUGGUAGCCCCAGCGAGCAAAGUUAUGCAAGAUCAAAUCUGAGGCUCCAGCCAAGAACUUUUAUGUAAGUUCCCUCCUUGGCUUUGCACAGCUCCACUCCCACAGGGAGCUGGGCACGACCAGGAACCGGCUCCUCCUCGGCUCUGCCAGGGCUUCAGUCACUUAAUUCGGUCACUUUAAUUCAAGACCUCGAUUUUAUCCUUAUCCACACUCAAUUCUCCUGGACAGAAGGAAGAGGAUGCUCCUGCAGCCAGGCUGGGCUCUCCUACAGUGGGAACAGCCCUCAGAGCAAACUGACCUGGAAUUUUGCACCUCCAGGGCAUUGAGAAGGGUGGAGAGACUCAGCCAGUUCCUGCUCCUAUCUGAAAAAUGAGGAGGUAAUUCCUUAUCUCACAAAAAAAGCCUCAGAGUCACGGAAAGGCUUGGGAUGGAAGGACCUUCCCCUAUCUCAGGUUACUCCAAGCUCUGGCCAACACUUCCAGGGAUCCAGGGUCAGCCACAGCUUUUCUGGGAAUUCCAUCCCAGCCCCUCCCCAGCCCCACAGGGAAGAACUCCUUCUGUAUAUCCACCCUAAAUUUCUCCUUUUUCAGCUCAAACCCGUUGCUCCUGUCACAACUCCACGGUUGGUCCUGGAAUGCCCAGGCAGUGCAGACACAGCAGGUUAAGCUCAUCCUCAGAGCCAGCUCCCAAAUAAUUCAUGAAAAUGAUGGAUAAAACACUCACAGGAUUCCAAAAAUUAAACCCUGUGACCUCUGUGCCACAUUCCCUCCGCACACAAACCCGAGUGCUGCACCCGGUCUUGUUUGAACAGUGAAAUCUGCAGGUCUGGGGUUUAUAAUUCCACCAAGGGCAUCCAAACCUGCUCCCAGGAAAAGGCAAUUCCUGCUCCACCAACGGGACACGUGCUGAGGGCCAACCCACAAACAAAAGGACACAAAAGCAAGCAAAGUUCCAGGUGUGAAAUGGAUUAAAAGGUCAGGUGUCCCAAGGGAAAAUAAAAAGGAAAUUAAAAGGAAAGUCAAAGGGAUCUCUUUGCUGGACUCCAGGGCAAGGUUCCAUUUCCCACCAAAUUAACACGGAUUUUAUUUGCCAGGCCACGAGCAAGGGGGUAUUUGCAACACUCUGAGAGGACAUGGAUAGCUGAGGAUGGAAGAAUUUGGGAAAAAGCUGCUUUUCCACCACAAGCAUUGCCCAUCCCUCAGCGCCAGAUGAAAAUCCUGCACAAAAAAAUCCCAUUCCUCCCUACCUCUGUCCCUAAAAUGCACUGAAAAUUCAGCUUCAUCAGGGCUGCCCCAUCCCCACCUCCAGACAGAGCCAGUGCCACGGAAAACAAAGUGAUCCACAAAUGAUUGUUUAUAUAUCCCAGAGUCCCUUGGAUGGCUGGACGGAGCAGCUGAGGCAGAUUCAUGACUGAAAAAGGAGCAAGAGCUCCGUGCCUGGAGCGGCAGCGCUGGCCAAACGCUGCUCCCAGGGUCUGCAGGGAAAAGGUGUCCCCUCAAUCCCCCAAAAAUAACCCCACAUGAUUCAAAAUUCUCAAAAACAAACCCCAGAGAGGUUUGCCUGGAGCUCCUGAUGCACAUCUGGGAGUGAAUCCAAAGCAAGCCCCUGCCUUGCUUGCUCCUCAUCAUGGAGCAGAUGGUGAGAGAUGCACUCUGGAGCAAAAAAAAAGCACAUUUUGGGGCCAAACCAAGGACUUGGACACUGAGGAAGCUGGGUGGGCUGUCACCGGUAGAAACAUCCCCAGGAAAACUCCACCAGGAGCCAUCCAGACCCCCUGGGAAGGGGAGAAGGUUUUUAUUGUUCCUCUUUCCCAAUUUCCAAACAGCCCAAUGUUAUUUUUAUCCAAUAUUUUAUUCCCAUUCACACCUAACCUACAUUCAUCUAUUCAAAGCUGAGUCCGGGACUCACACAGAGCCGGCUCGGAGGGAAUAAUGUGGAGAAAUCCAGCACAGAAAGGCCGUGGAAAUGGCAUUUUUUUUCUGGGAAAAAGGUGGAUUUUCAGCUUUCGGAGUCAUUAAUGGAGAACAAACCCUUGGAGGCAGGGGAUGGAUGUCACUGUUACAAGGACAGGCUGGAUCUCAGCAGCUGGGUGAUGUUGGAAUAACAGAAUCCUGGAAUUAUCCAGCUUGGAAUGCUCCAAGGUCACAGAUUCCAAUCUGUGCCCAAUCCCCACCUUGUCCCCAGCUCAGAGCACUGAGCGCCACAUCCAGGCAUUCCUCGGAAUCUCCAGGGAUGGGAAUUCCACCACCUCUCAAUGACCAUUCUAUUUAUCAGCAACCACCCCAUUUUCCACGGAAUAAUCUUCAUCCUUCCCAAAACUGAUUAAUCCACAUGAAUUUCUGGUUGUUAAAAACAAAAUGUUUUUGCCUUUUUUUUUUUUUUAAAAAAAAAAACCCCUAUAAGGUUUCUGGGAGUUUUUUUUCUUCCCUGAUAUGCAAACCUGCAAAACCAGGUGUGUGUGUGUGUGUGUUUGUGUUUGAUAUCCUGACUUUUCCUUGGAUCAAGCCCUGACAAAUAAUCUGUGUCCUUU